Molecule: RNase P RNA, 369 nt
Filed under: Acidobacteriota bacterium
Lineage: Bacteria; Pseudomonadati; Acidobacteriota
Description: RNase P RNA component class A
Rfam family: Bacterial RNase P class A
About the family: Ribonuclease P (RNase P) is a ubiquitous endoribonuclease, found in archaea, bacteria and eukarya as well as chloroplasts and mitochondria.
Source: RNAcentral
UGAGUCGGCCGGGUGGCCGCGGUCCGGGCCUUCGGGCACCGGGUCGAGGAAGGUCGGGGCUCCACAGGGCAGGGUGCUGGCUAACGGCCAGUCGGGGCGACCCGAAGGAAAGUGCAACAGAGAGCAGACCGCCGAUGGCGGGCUCCGGCCCGCACAGGCAAGGGUGAAACGGUGCGGUAAGAGCGCACCAGCGGCCGGGGUGACCCGGCCGGCUCGGUAAACCCCACCCGGAGCAAGGUCGAACGUGGGACAGGAGUUGCCCGCUCGGCUCCCCGAGAGGGGGGCAGUCCCCAGGUAGGCCGCUCAGAUGGAUGGCCACCACGUCCCGAAAGGGGCGUACAGAACCCCGCCUACAGGCCGACUCACCGU